This 460-nucleotide ribosomal RNA is filed under the name uncultured bacterium. Its description in RNAcentral is "partial 16S ribosomal RNA". It matches the Rfam family "Bacterial small subunit ribosomal RNA", at positions 338 to 795 of the family's 1533-position model. The record is from RNAcentral.
CCUACGGGUGGCAGCAGUGAGGAAUAUUGGUCAAUGGACGAAAGUCUGAACCAGCCAAGUCGCGUGAAGGAUGACUGACCUAUGGGUUGUAAACUUCUUUUAUAGGGGAAUAAAACGAUUCACGUGUGCCUUUUUGCAUGUACUUUAUGAAUAAGGAUCGGCUAACUCCGUGCCAGCAGCCGCGGUAAUACGGAGGAUCCGAGCGUUAUCCGGAUUUAUUGGGUUUAACGGGAGCGUAGGUGGGUUGUUAAGUCAGUUGUGAAAGUUUGUGGCUCAACCGUAAAAUUGCAAUUGAUACUGGAAGUCUUGAGUACAGUUGAGGUAGGCGGAAUGCGUGGUGUAGCAGUGAAAUGCGUAGAUAUCACGAAGAACUCCGAUUGCGAAGGCAGCUUACUAAACUGUGACUGACACUGAUGCUCGAAAGCGUGGGGAUCAAACAGGAUUAGAUACCCGGGUAGUC